AUUGAACGCUGGCGGCAGGCCUAACACAUGCAAGUCGAACGAGUGGCGGACGGGUGAGUAAUGUCUGGGAAACUGCCCGAUGGAGGGGGAUAACUACUGGAAACGGUAGCUAAUACCGCAUACCAUCGGAUGUGCCCAGAUGGGAUUAGCUAGUAGGUGGGGUAACGGCUCACCUCGGCGACGAUCCCUAGCUGGUCUGAGAGGAUGACCAGCCACACGGGAACUGAGACACGGUCCAGACUCCUACGGGAGGCAGCAGUGGGGAAUAGUGCACAAUGGUCGCAAGCCUGAUGCAGCCAUGCCGCGGGUAUGAAGAAGGCUUUCGGGUUGUAAAGUACUUUCAGCGGGGAGGCGUUACUCGCAGAAGAAGCACCGGCUAACUCCGUGCCAGCAGCCGCGGUAAUAC
This 406-nucleotide ribosomal RNA is filed under the name uncultured bacterium. RNAcentral's name for it is "partial 16S ribosomal RNA". It matches the Rfam family "Bacterial small subunit ribosomal RNA", at positions 30 to 526 of the family's 1533-position model. The record is from RNAcentral.